GCAGUCGACGGCAGCGCGGGGCAACCUGGCGGCGAGUGGCGAACGGGUGAGUAAUAUAUCGGAACGUGCCCUGGAGUGGGGGAUAACGCAGCGAAAGUUGCGCUAAUACCGCAUACGAUCUAAGGAUGAAAGCAGGGGACCGCAAGGCCUUGUGCUCCUGGAGCGGCCGAUAUCUGAUUAGCUAGUUGGUGGGGUAAAGGCCUACCAAGGCAUCGAUCAGUAGCUGGUCUGAGAGGACGACCAGCCACACUGGAACUGAGACACGGUCCAGACUCCUACGGGAGGCAGCAGUGGGGAAUUUUGGACAAUGGGCGCAAGCCUGAUCCAGCAAUGCCGCGUGAGUGAAGAAGGCCUUCGGGUUGUAAAGCUCUUUUGUCAGGGAAGAAACGGUGAGUUCUAAGACAGUUCACUAAUGACGGUACCUGAAGAAUAAGCACCGGCUAACUACGUGCCAGCAGCCGCGGUAAUACGUAGGGUGCAAGCGUUAAUCGGAAUUACUGGGCGUAAAGCGUGCGCAGGCGGUUUUGUAAGUUUGUCGUGAAAUCCCCGGGCUCAACCUGGGAAUGGCGAUGAAGACUGCAAGGCUAGAAUCUGGCAGAGGGGGGUAGAAUUCCACGUGUAGCAGUGAAAUGCGUAGAGAUGUGGAGGAACACCGAUGGCGAAGGCAGCCCCCUGGGUCAAGAUUGACGCUCAUGCACGAAAGCGUGGG
Molecule: ribosomal RNA, 709 nt
Filed under: uncultured bacterium
Lineage: Bacteria
Description: bacterial SSU rRNA
Rfam family: Bacterial small subunit ribosomal RNA
Source: RNAcentral